UUAAGCGACUAAGCGUACACGGUGGAUGCCCUGGCAGUCAGAGGCGAUGAAGGACGUGCUAAUCUGCGAAAAGCGCCGGCGAGGUGAUAUGAACCUUUGACCCGGCGAUGUCCGAAUGGGGAAACCCAGUGUGUUCCGACACACUAUCGUUAACUGAAUACAUAGGUUAACGAGGCGAACCGGGGGAACUGAAACAUCUAAGUACCCCGAGGAAAAGAAAUCAACCGAGAUUCCCCCAGUAGCGGCGAGCGAACGGGGAGCAGCCCGGAGUCUGAAUCAGCUUGUGUGUUAGUGGAACGGUCUGGAAAGUCCGACGGUACAGGGUGAUAGUCCCGUACACGAAAACACACUUGCUGUGAACUCGAAGAGUAGGGCGGGACACGUGGUAUCCUGUCUGAAUAUGGGGGGACCAUCCUCCAAGGCUAAAUACUCCUGACUGACCGAUAGUGAACCAGUACCGUGAGGGAAAGGCGAAAAGAACCCCGGCGAGGGGAGUGAAAAAGAACCUGAAACCGUGUACGUACAAGCAGUGGGAGCACCUUCGUGGUGUGACUGCGUACCUUUUGUAUAAUGGGUCAGCGACUUAUAUUCUGUAGCAAGGUUAACCGUAUAGGGGAGCCGAAGGGAAACCGAGUCUUAACUGGGCGUUAAGUUGCAGGGUAUAGACCCGAAACCCGGUGAUCUAGCCAUGGGCAGGUUGAAGGUUGGGUAACACUAACUGGAGGACCGAACCGACUAAUGUUGAAAAAUUAGCGGAUGACCUGUGGCUGGGGGUGAAAGGCCAAUCAAACCGGGAGAUAGCUGGUUCUCCCCGAAAGCUAUUUAGGUAGCGCCUCGUGAACUCAUCUUCGGGGGUAGAGCACUGUUUCGGCUAGGGGGCCAUCCCGGCUUACCAACCCGAUGCAAACUACGAAUACCGAAGAAUGUUAUCACGGGAGACACACGGCGGGUGCUAACGUCCGUCGUGAAGAGGGAAACAACCCAGACCGCCAGCUAAGGUCCCAAAGUCAUGGUUAAGUGGGAAACGAUGUGGGAAGGCACAGACAGCCAGGAUGUUGGCUUAGAAGCAGCCAUCAUUUAAAGAAAGCGUAAUAGCUCACUGGUCGAGUCGGCCUGCGCGGAAGAUGUAACGGGGCUAAACCAUGCACCGAAGCUGCGGCAGCGACGCUUAUGCGUUGUUGGGUAGGGGAGCGUUCUGUAAGCCGUUGAAGGUGUGCUGUGAGGCAUGCUGGAGGUAUCAGAAGUGCGAAUGCUGACAUAAGUAACGAUAAAGCGGGUGAAAAGCCCGCUCGCCGGAAGACCAAGGGUUCCUGUCCAACGUUAAUCGGGGCAGGGUGAGUCGACCCCUAAGGCGAGGCCGAAAGGCGUAGUCGAUGGGAAACAGGUUAAUAUUCCUGUACUUGGUGUUACUGCGAAGGGGGGACGGAGAAGGCUAUGUCAGCCGGGCGACGGUUGUCCCGGUUUAAGCAUGUAGGCGGAGGUUCCAGGUAAAUCCGGUACCUUUUAACGCUGAGGUGUGAUGACGAGGCACUACGGUGCUGAAGUGAUAAAUGCCCUGCUUCCAGGAAAAGCCUCUAAGCAUCAGGUAACACGAAAUCGUACCCCAAACCGACACAGGUGGUCAGGUAGAGAAUACCAAGGCGCUUGAGAGAACUCGGGUGAAGGAACUAGGCAAAAUGGUGCCGUAACUUCGGGAGAAGGCACGCUGAUAGGUAGGUGAAGCCCCUGCGGGCGGAGCUGAAAUCAGUCGAAGAUACCAGCUGGCUGCAACUGUUUAUUAAAAACACAGCACUGUGCAAACACGAAAGUGGACGUAUACGGUGUGACGCCUGCCCGGUGCCGGAAGGUUAAUUGAUGGGGUUAGCGGCAACGCGAAGCUCUUGAUCGAAGCCCCGGUAAACGGCGGCCGUAACUAUAACGGUCCUAAGGUAGCGAAAUUCCUUGUCGGGUAAGUUCCGACCUGCACGAAUGGCGUAAUGAUGGCCAGGCUGUCUCCACCCGAGACUCAGUGAAAUUGAACUCGCUGUGAAGAUGCAGUGUACCCGCGGCAAGACGGAAAGACCCCGUGAACCUUUACUAUAGCUUGACACUGAACACUGGUCCUUGAUGUGUAGGAUAGGUGGGAGGCUUUGAAGCGUGGACGCCAGUCUGCGUGGAGCCAUCCUUGAAAUACCACCCUUUAAUGGCUGGUGUUCUAACGUAGACCCGUGAUCCGGGUUGCGGACAGUGUCUGGUGGGUAGUUUGACUGGGGCGGUCUCCUCCCAAAGAGUAACGGAGGAGCACGAAGGUUGGCUAAUCCUGGUCGGACAUCAGGAGGUUAGUGCAAUGGCAUAAGCCAGCUUGACUGCGAGCGUGACGGCGCGAGCAGGUGCGAAAGCAGGUCAUAGUGAUCCGGUGGUUCUGAAUGGAAGGGCCAUCGCUCAACGGAUAAAAGGUACUCCGGGGAUAACAGGCUGAUACCGCCCAAGAGUUCAUAUCGACGGCGGUGUUUGGCACCUCGAUGUCGGCUCAUCACAUCCUGGGGCUGAAGUAGGUCCCAAGGGUAUGGCUGUUCGCCAUUUAAAGUGGUACGCGAGCUGGGUUUAGAACGUCGUGAGACAGUUCGGUCCCUAUCUGCCGUGGGCGCUGGAGAAUUGAGGGGGGCUGCUCCUAGUACGAGAGGACCGGAGUGGACGCAUCACUGGUGUUCGGGUUGUCAUGCCAAUGGCACUGCCCGGUAGCUAAAUGCGGAAGAGAUAAGUGCUGAAAGCAUCUAAGCACGAAACUUGCCCCGAGAUGAGUUCUCCCUGAGACUUUAAGUCUCCUGAAGGAACGUUGAAGACGACGACGUUGAUAGGUCGGGUGUGUAAGCGCAGCGAUGCGUUGAGCUAACCGAUACUAAUGAACCGUGAGGCUUAACCUU
This 2903-nucleotide ribosomal RNA is filed under the name Enterobacter cloacae. RNAcentral describes it as "bacterial LSU rRNA". It matches the Rfam family "Bacterial large subunit ribosomal RNA". Lineage: Bacteria; Pseudomonadati; Pseudomonadota; Gammaproteobacteria; Enterobacterales; Enterobacteriaceae. RNAcentral also lists the same sequence under 1 other name. The record is from RNAcentral.